UACGUAGGGUGCGAGCGUUGUCCGGAAUUAUUGGGCGUAAAGAGCUUGUAGGUGGUUUGUCGCGUCUGCUGUGAAAACCCGAGGCUCAACCUCGGGCCUGCAGUCGAUACGGGCAGACUAGAGUGUUGCAGGGGAGACUGGAAUUCCUGGUGUAGCGGUGAAAUGCGCAGAUAUCAGGAGGAACACCGGUGGCGAAGGCGGGUCUCUGGGCAACAACUGACGCUGAGGAGCGAAAGCGUGGGGAGCGAACAGG
Molecule: ribosomal RNA, 253 nt
Filed under: uncultured bacterium
Lineage: Bacteria
Description: partial 16S ribosomal RNA
Rfam family: Bacterial small subunit ribosomal RNA
Source: RNAcentral